Molecule: ribosomal RNA, 254 nt
Filed under: uncultured bacterium
Lineage: Bacteria
Description: partial 16S ribosomal RNA
Rfam family: Bacterial small subunit ribosomal RNA
Source: RNAcentral
UACGAAGGGGGCUAGCGUUGUUCGGAUUAACUGGGCGUAAAGGGUGCGUAGGCGGGUUUUUAAGUCAGGGGUGAAAUCCCGAGGCUCAACCUCGGAACUGCCUUUGAUACUGGAAAUCUUGAGUCUGGGAGAGGUGAGUGGAACUGCGAGUGUAGAGGUGAAAAUUCGUAGAUAUUCGCAAGAACACCAGUGGCGAAGGCGGCUCACUGGCCCGAUACUGACGCUGAGGCGCGAAAGCGUGGGGAGCAAACAGG